RNAcentral lists this ribosomal RNA (510 nucleotides) under Paraconiothyrium sp. UFMGCB 3837. Its description in RNAcentral is "eukaryotic LSU rRNA". The stretch from base 153 to 306 matches the Rfam family "5.8S ribosomal RNA". Lineage: Eukaryota; Fungi; Ascomycota; Dothideomycetes; Pleosporales; Didymosphaeriaceae. The record is from RNAcentral.
CUCUCCCGGGUGGUAGGGGCACACCUCAGCGCGUAUUCUGAAUCCUUUUUACGAGUACCUUCGUUCUCCUUCGGUGGGGCAACCUGCCGCUGGAACUUAACAAAACCUUUUUUGCAUCUAGCAUUACCUGUUCUGAUACAAACAAUCGUUACAACUUUCAACAAUGGAUCUCUUGGCUCUGGCAUCGAUGAAGAACGCAGCGAAAUGCGAUAAGUAGUGUGAAUUGCAGAAUUCAGUGAAUCAUCGAAUCUUUGAACGCACAUUGCGCCCCUUGGUAUUCCAUGGGGCAUGCCUGUUCGAGCGUCAUCUACACCCUCAAGCUCUGCUUGGUGUUGGGCGUCUGUCCCGCCUUUGCGCGUGGACUCGCCCCAAAUUCAUUGGCAGCGGUCUUUGCCUCUCUCGCGCAGCACAAUUGCGAUGAGGGGGGCGUGGCCCGCGUCCACGAAGCAACAUUACCGUCUUUGACCUCGGAUCAGGUAGGGAUAACCGCUGAACUUAAGCAUAUCAAUA